GUAGCAGAAUAGUUUGUUCUUUAAUUGGGAGUUGGUAUAAAUGGUUAAACAAGGAAAAUCUUUUUAAGUUAAAUAAAGUAAAUUAAAGUUUAAGUUAAAAUGCUUAGAUGGGAUAAAGGGACGAUAAGACCCUAAAAGCUUAAUUUAUUUAAAUGGAAGAGGUAAUGUAAAAUUAUAAUUGAAGGUAAAAUUAGCUGGGGAAGUGUGUUUGUGGAAUCAAAAUGGAAUAGUAUUAUGAUUUAAGAUUUAAGAUCUUUAAAAUGAGAAUUGACAGAAUAAGUUACUUUAGGGAUAACAGCGCAAUGGUUUUGGAGAGUCCUUAUUUAUAAAAUUAUGUGCGACCUCGAUGUUGAAUUAAGAAGUCUUAGAGGGGCAGAAAACUUAUAAGAGGGUUUGUUCAACCUUUAAAUUUUU
This 414-nucleotide ribosomal RNA is filed under the name Pseudocrangonyx sp. 5 KT-2016. Its description in RNAcentral is "partial 16S ribosomal RNA". Lineage: Eukaryota; Metazoa; Arthropoda; Malacostraca; Amphipoda; Pseudocrangonyctidae. The record is from RNAcentral.